Molecule: non-coding RNA, 129 nt
Filed under: Mycobacterium sp.
Lineage: Bacteria; Bacillati; Actinomycetota; Actinomycetes; Mycobacteriales; Mycobacteriaceae
Source: RNAcentral
CACGUCGGCUAUUGUCGGGCUGCGCCUGGCGACAGGAAUCUGGUGAGAAUCCAGAGCGGUCGCGCCACUGUGAGCCCACCCGACUGACGGGUGAGUGAGUCAGAUACUGAGCCAGGCGCAUGUCAUCCG